UCUUAAACUCUGUAAUAAGAAAAGAAACAAUCUAUUUUUAAAAAUGGGUCAAAAAUUUGAAUAGACAACUGACCAAAGAAGAUAUAGGUUAGCAAAUAAACAUACAAAAAGACCCAUACAUACUAUUAUCAAUCAUUAGAAAAGUGAACAUUAGAACCAGAGUGAGAUAUUACUUCAAAUCCAUUAGAGUGGGUAAAAAUUAAAAAUUUUUUAAUCUCAUUUUAGUAGACCUCUUAGCUCCUUUCAACACGGUUUACCACUCGCUCCUCCUUGAGAUAUUUUUCUCUUAGGUGACAUCAUAUUCUUGUGUUUCUCCCCCUCUCUCCUUUUGUCAUCUUUCCUGACUUUUCUCCAUCUGACAUCUAAAUGUUGCAUCCCAUAGCCCAGUCAUUUUGUUUUAUCUGUCUCUUCUCUUGGACAAAUUGAUCUCAUUUCAUCCUAUUGCUUCCAACAGCUUCUCUGUGCUGGUGAUCCUCAAAUCUCUAUUUUACUGAAUCUAGGCACUUUUUUUUUUCCUUCAUUAGGUAACUCUGCACGUGGAAACUCCAAGAGGUUUCAGCCACUUCUUGAGUCCACAAGAAGAGGCUUAACAAGUUGCUGGAAUCGGAAUGACCAGGAUGCAGCCUGGAGCAGAAAACCACUGUACUAUGAAGUUUUAAAUCACACUUAUAAGACCUUAUUAUCACUUAAUAUUGGCAAGUAUUAUUAUGAUUUUUGAUGUCUUUGUGAUAGUUGCUGAAGCUUGUGUCACCCUUCACUUGUGCUUCCCUGGCUAAGAUAUCUCUUCUAGCUGUUUUUUGCUCCUUAGGAUAUUUAUUUAUUUAUUUAUUUAUUUAUUUAUUUAUUUUUUAUUUUUUUUUUCCUUAGGACAUUUAAAAGACUAUCUUCUAACGCACUACCCAGUACUUUUUUCAUUUCUGCUCACCUUGCCUCCCAGUGGGAUAUUAUUCAAGUUUCAAAACAUAUCAUUUCUAUAGAAAAAGACACAAUUAUCUCCUAGAAAGAUGGACUUACUAUGGUGAAUCUAGAAUAUAUUUCUAACAUUUUUUGUAAUAUAUAUAUAUAUAUUACAUACUACAUAUAUACAUAUACAAUGUCUAUGCAAUAUACAUAUAUACAAUAUACAAUAGUGUAUAUAUAAAAUGCAUGUAUGAUAUAUAUAAUAGUAUACCACACACACACACACACACACACACACACUGUAUAUAUACACUAUACCAUACAUAUAUUUUGGAGGCCUAAAAUGAGUAGUCUCUGGCUUCAAUUUCCUUAAGCAGAAAGGGAUGGUUUGGUCCUAUAUUUUUUCUAUAAAUAUAUAACAUUCUUUUUCAGGUUCCCUUUGUCCUGUUGGCAUAUUUAUUGGUAUAGAAGUCUAGUAUUAGGACUUAAAUCGAGCCAAAACUCAAAUGAAAAAUUAGCACAUCUACGUUUGCUAUAGAUCUUGCUCCAUCCUCUCCCUACCUCAUUUAAAUAAAAUUAAUUUUGCUAGUGUUUUUUUCUGUAGAAAAAUUAUAAUAGCGACAAAGGAAGGAAAAAACAACCUCUGAAAAUUGGACAUAUAUUAAUAACCUCUGUACAAUCAGGCUUGAAGUGCAUUUUAGGAGAGCAGUAUCAAUCUCAAUCUUUCCAAAAUGGAACAAAUUAUUACUUUCCCAAAGCUAUAAAUUCAGUGACUUAGUGAAAGAUUCCCUCACCACAGAUGCUGAUGUGUUAAAAAAAAAAAAAAAGGUAUUUCAAGGCAGGGUGCAAGAAAUUGUGAAGAAAAUAGAUUAAUAAUAUGAGGUCUCUGCAUCAGAGAUAGUUACAAAGACUUCAAUGGGGAACAAAGGGUCAGAACUGAGAAUCAUCCUGAUGGAUGCUAAGAGGAGAGUCUAAGACAUUGGCAGCCGGGGGAUCAGCAAUGAAACUCCCAAAAUGGAGCAGGAGUGGAGAAAGAUGAAGAUUAGAAAGGAAACUGACAUUUCUUGAGGGCCAGGUAUAAGCUGGUGUUUCUGAUGUGUCAUCUCAUUUUACCUUUGUCAUGGGCUAUAAUGUAAUGUCAUGUAAGGAGGGAUGAUUUCUGGUGUUGCCUACCAUCUGAACUUCAGUGCACAGUGCCUUGGUUGUAAAAACCACUCAAAAACUGCUUAAAGGAGUAAAUUAAAUGAAUAAGUGCACACCUAUAUGAAUAUGUAUUCCUGCCUGUGAACUAAAAAAGGUGUUUUAAAGCCCCUUUUACCUGUUGGAUAUGAUACAAAGAUAGUUGAUGGAAAUUGAGUAUAAAAUCCAAUUUAUUGGGUGUUCUGUUAUUUGUUAAUCAGAGUGAGAUACCAACAUUAUCUGCUGUAAUGACAAGAGCACUCUACAACAGCUGGAGAUCAUGGUGUAUUGGCAUCAUGCAAAAACCAGUUAAAUCAGUAGGCAGUACAAUAUUAUCAAGGGGGAUCAAUGUGGACACCCACCAAAAUGUUGUACAGGAAGGUAGACAGGAAACAUGACAACAGAGAUCCAAUUAUACAACUUAGGAACUAAAAUUCUGUCCCAUGGAAAACUUUUGUAACAAAUCAUUACUUUAUUCCCUUAAGAAGUGAACUCUGAACAGGGACUUGAAUUGCAGUAUAAGGUGGAGACUUGGUCAUAAUUUUUUUUUUCAAGAGAUAGGCCACAACCAAAGAGUAUGACUAAUAUCCAGAGAUGUGGAGCAAAGAUCUUAGUCUAGAACUCCCAAAUUCAUCCUACUGAGAAGGAAGCCAAGGGUUAAGUAAAUCCAGCUAAAGGGCCCGAAAACUUAUAGGCAUGAUGGGAUAAGUGUGGAUAUUAAUCCAAGAAUAAUUUCCUGGGGAGGUAAGCUUUAAUAUCAGCCAUAUUUGGAUGCUCCUUAUUAACUACCCAGAUCACAUCUGGCACUCUAACUGGAAGAGAGUCUUAAAUUUGAUUUUAAGGUAUCUGGCCCCUUUGUUUUUGAAAGUCAUGCUGGCAGAGGACUGAAUAAGUGGAAAGUGAAUUAUUGGGUAGUAAGUGGCACACCUCCUUGGCUUCAGUCCAUUACUACCACCUUAAUCCAGGCUUUCAACACAUCAGUAACAGAUGAUUGAACAACACACAACAGUUCUCAUGUCUCCUGUCUUUUCUCUUCAAUCCUGCAACAAAGUCAUCUUUAAAACCUCACUUUAAUAUCUCUGCUUAGAUUAUUUGCCCAAAUUAUCUUUUUUUAAUCCUUCUUCUAAUCUGAAUAUUAUUAAAUACUUUGAUGCUAACUUCAACUUAUGUUUCCUUUUUAAAGAGGCUCUCAUUCAAGACUCCAUCUACUCUAAAUUCCUAUAACUCUUUCAUUCUACAUCUUUUAUAUUAGAAUGCAAUGAUAUAUUUCCAAUGCUGAUAUAAAUUCUUCAUGGGAACAGGUUGUAUUUUAUGAUUGUACUCUUAGAACCCAGGUCUGUACGUGACAAAUAGAUUCAACUCAUAAAAAUUGCAUUAAUCUUUCUUUUUCUUUAGUGUCCCCUCACUGAUCAGCAUAAUGACAUGUUUUGUUGAUUUAAUGUAGUAGAUACAAAAAUGUCCCACCCAUGUCCCCAUGAUCUACUUCUGCAGAUGGUUCCCUUACAGGACAGUGACUUUCUGCCUAAGGAUGUUCUCUGGCAUCAAGCAUGCUUAGCAUUUCUGCAGGACAGAUUGGAAGUUCUGAAGGGUUAAUACCUCAGUAGAAAUCCUUAGCCAAUGAGGGAUAGAAGUUAGUGGACAAAUACUCCUUCUUCCUCUUACCUUUCCUGCUUAUCUCU
Molecule: long non-coding RNA, 3758 nt
Filed under: Canis lupus familiaris (dog)
Lineage: Eukaryota; Metazoa; Chordata; Mammalia; Carnivora; Canidae
Description: lncRNA (ENSCAFG00040007489.1)
Source: RNAcentral